This 253-nucleotide ribosomal RNA is filed under the name uncultured bacterium. RNAcentral's name for it is "partial 16S ribosomal RNA". It matches the Rfam family "Bacterial small subunit ribosomal RNA", at positions 524 to 776 of the family's 1533-position model. The record is from RNAcentral.
UACGAAGGGGGCUAGCGUUGCUCGGAAUCACUGGGCGUAAAGCGCACGUAGGCGGCUUUUUAAGUCAGGGGUGAAAUCCCGGAGCUCAACUCCGGAACUGCCUUUGAUACUGGGGAUCUUGAGUCCGGAAGAGGUGAGUGGAACUCCGAGUGUAGAGGUGAAAUUCGUAGAUAUUCGGAAGAACACCAGUGGCGAAGGCGGCUCACUGGUCCGGUACUGACGCUGAGGUGCGAAAGCGUGGGGAGCAAACAGG